Oesophagostomum dentatum (nodular worm) is the source of this 117-nucleotide non-coding RNA. The record is from Rfam. Lineage: Eukaryota; Metazoa; Nematoda; Chromadorea; Rhabditida; Strongylidae.
CAUGCGGUCCGGCGUCAGUGGGUUAUCAGUACAUGGCGAUUCCGCAAGGAAAAGCAAGUCCGCAAGGACACCCCGCCCGCAAGGGCACCCUUCCCAUUGGCAUCACUUGACCGUAAC